Molecule: long non-coding RNA, 2179 nt
Filed under: Macaca mulatta (Rhesus monkey)
Lineage: Eukaryota; Metazoa; Chordata; Mammalia; Primates; Cercopithecidae
Description: lncRNA (ENSMMUG00000063088.1)
Source: RNAcentral
ACAAACUCUCAUGACCUUCGAUGCAGAUGCCUUGUGUUUUGGGAGCAUAGAUCAAGAGAUAUCUCUUGUUCAGAAAGUUUCCUAGGCCGGACGCAGUGGCUCACACCUGUAAUCUCAGCAUUCUGGGAGGCUGAGGUGGGCAGAUCGCCUGAGGUCAGGAGUUUGAGACCAGCCUGGCCAACAUGACGAAACCCCAUCUCUACUAAAAAUUACGCACUUUCCCUAGUUCAUUCAACAGUGGGAUUCCUGUGGAUUUAUGUUUUCUAGUUUUGUGGGGGAAAAUCAGAACUACUUUGCCAGAGGAAGUAAAAGUUCAGCUGAGACUUAAGGAGAUGGCAUUCAGCCACGUGAAGUGCAGUAAUCCAGCUGCUCAUAUCAUUGGCAAAUGAGCGUAUUGGAACAUGCAUUGCUGGCUGAUCAUUCUGAUUAAGUCAACAAGCUUGACAACUCACUCAAAUGAGGUCGUCCGGGAGAACUUCACUGAUUUUACGAGGACAGGAGCUACGUCUUUGCUGAACUGCAACACGUUUCAACUGCUGAGGUGUUCCUCAAACUUUUGCAUUGUUUGGAAUGUGAGCGGCACCGCCGAGACAAACUUUGGGGUUCCCACUGCAUUGCUAAAUUUCCCCCUUCACUUCAAGGCCAGGCGAGCAUGGGAAAGGAGCAGGGCCUGGGCGUCCCGCAGAGCCCCCGCUAAGGAACGCUCCCGCCUUGAGCGCAGCCACAGGCCUGCCCUGGCCACAAGGAUGGGGUCGCUCCGCAGACACUGGUGACCAGUGGAAGCAUGACCAGGAGGCGAUUACCUUCUAAUCACUAAUAACUUUAUUUUUAGGUAACACCACGGAGGACGCCAUGAGACCGAAGGCCGUUGGGUAACCGCCCCUUCUGCUCGCGCUGCGCCCUCUCCCUGCCCCGAACCACCGGCAACUGAUGCUGGGAGCGAGCGGUUGAGGGCGGCCGGCUGCGCGCUGGAACCCCGCCCACCUCGAGGCUCGUGCGCAGGCGCACGGGACAGGCCUGGAGCCCGCCCUGGGAGGGGCCCGCAGGAGAUGGGGAAAUGGAGGGACGCGGCACCUGGGCGCUUCCUGGGACCAGGCGACGCCUUCUCCUUGGAACCUCCAAGACCCGUCCCUCCUAGAAACGAGCGCGUCUGACCGGGCGCGGUGGCUCACACCUGUAAUCCCAGCACUUUGGGAGGCCGAGGUGGGUGGAUCACCUGAGGUCAGGAGUUCGAGACCAGCCUGGCCAACAUGGUGCAAUCCCGUCUCCACCAAAAAUACAAAAAUUAGCCGGGCGUGGUGGCGCACACUUGUAGUCCCAGCUAUUCGGGAGGCUGAGGCAGAAGAAUUGCGUGAACCCGGGAGGCGGAGGCUGCAGUGAGAGAAGAUCACACCACUGCACUUCAAGGCCGGAGCGAGACUCCGUCUCAAAAAAACAAAAAACAAAACCAAAAAAAAAAAAAAACCAAAAAAAAAGCUAGUAAGCAACUCACUGACUUGAGUUUGUGAUAGCUUCAGAAGAAACUUUCAUCAUCAGAUCUUUUCUGCUCAUUUGCAGGAUUCCUAUUGUCUGUCAUCCACGUGAUGACACUGAAGAGCCUUCACAUCCAGGCCGACCUGGAGCCUUAAGUGCAGAGACUGAGAGCUCUGCAAGACACAGCAUGGAGCCGCCAUUCCUCUACUGUUCCGUGACUGGGUGGAAAAGCAUGUGUCCUCUGAACAGGGGAUCCAAGCCCUGAGAUGUUCUUUCUCAGCAGUCAGUGUGGCCCAGGACAUUGUGUGGGCAUGCUCAGAGAGCAGGGGCCAGAGGGCUUUUAGCCACCACCUCCCAUGGCCAGUCUUCACAAAUUACCUUUGGCUAAUUUGAUUGUCUCUCCUCCUGGGGUCUGGGACUUCAAACAUGUACAGAAGCGACUGCAGAAUUGAGACAAGACACUGUUCCACAGUAUGCUUUUUGUAUCAGUGGCUCAGAAAAAGACUCAUUGAAAUCCUGUAUCAAAGUCAUGUGUGAGAAUCUUGAGAAAGCAUCGGCUCACUGACUUGACACGGGAGGAAGCAACCAAGAAUUCUGCCCUUCUUCAGUGCCUGAGUGUGAUAUUUUGCCUCAACAGCCCUCUUAGAUGAAGUUACUGAUUGAAAAUCAUUUAUGUUUGCCCCAUGAUAAAAGCUCAAGUCCUCAG